RNAcentral lists this transfer RNA (82 nucleotides) under Angelakisella sp. RNAcentral describes it as "tRNA-Leu". It matches the Rfam family "tRNA". Rfam says of the family: Transfer RNA (tRNA) molecules are approximately 80 nucleotides in length. Their secondary structure includes four short double-helical elements and three loops (D, anti-codon, and T loops). Lineage: Bacteria; Bacillati; Bacillota; Clostridia; Eubacteriales; Oscillospiraceae. The record is from RNAcentral.
GCGGGAAUGGCGGAAUGGCAGACGCGCUGGUCUUAGGAGCCAGUACUUCGGUGUGUGGGUUCAAGUCCCAUUUCCCGCACCA